This is a long non-coding RNA of Homo sapiens (human), 860 nucleotides long. Ensembl annotates it as long intergenic non-protein coding RNA 511. The record is from Ensembl. Lineage: Eukaryota; Metazoa; Chordata; Mammalia; Primates; Hominidae.
GGGCCCGCUUUGAUCUCCCUUAAAGGACAGCAUUAUCUGACCAGAGACCCAUGCAGGAGACCUCUCCAGGUACACAUAUUUCCUGCUACUGAAUGGCUUAGACUGGGAUUUGCAAGGAACUACGAAGUCCAAGACCUUUGCCUUUCUUUUAGAAGAAGGCACCAGCUGGUUCUCCAAUGUUGAAGGUCUUCUCCAGAGAUGGGCAUGCAGAAGGAGUGAAAAAACAAGAAGGAAGACAAGGAAGACAUUGUUUUGGCUGCUGACAUUUCCUGAAAGAUCUGAGGCGUCCCCUUCACUUCGGGCAUGGGACCCAGACGGCUGAGUGAUGGACCUUAAGGUGUGGGGAGAUUACAACUUGCUCAAGGUCUCAUAGCUAGAAGAUGUCAGAGUGAUAACUCAAACCAUGUCACAUGACUCUAAGCCCAAAGCAGCCUCUAGAAGGUUGUUUGAUCUUCUGAUGGAAGCACAAAUCACCAUUCCAACAUGAAAGAUGGAGAAACUUAAGUCUAGAGAGAUUUAAAGGACUUGUCAAAGGCAAUGAAACAAGUGAUGAGGAAACUGAGGCCCAGAGAGGAUAAAUGACUUGCUCAAGGUUAGCCAGUUGGUCAAUGGCAAAGAUUAAACCAGAACCCAGAUCUCCUCUCUCCAGCCAGAGUCUUCAAGCAAAGUCCCUAGGAGGAACUCUGAAAGCCACAUGUUGAGAUGGCCCCAUUACAGGAUGGAGAGCACCUGAACCCCCAAGUUAUGGACUAGAAGAAGACAGUUGCCCUGGAAAAUCAUCUGACCCACAUUGGACUUUAUGUGAGGGGGAAAUAAACCUUUAUUAUGUUAAGCUACACAAUAAUAAAUAACAACAAUAA